CAGUUUAAAUGCUCUAAGGCUGGAGUGCACUCACCAAGUUUAAAGAACACGAGAAAGACCAGCAUGGCUGGAGUUGAGUGAGUGACGGAGAGCGGAAGAAAACAAGGCAGAAAGGCAAUGGGAAGAUCAGCUCAGGUAGCCCACUCUUUCUUUUGGAAAUCCGCCACUGAGAGAAGUCUUGAUUGAAAGGUUGAAUUCCAAGAGUAACAGUCAAGGACCUUUACCUGGUUCUAUGAGAAGAGCGUUCUUCUAGUGAAAAUACAGUGGCAGACUCAAGUGUAAAUGCAAAUAUAGAGGGCCAAUUUGGCAAUGUGUGCCAAAAAGACUUAAAAUUGUGUGUAUAAUUUGAUCCAGAAUGUCUAGCUUUUGUAAUAAUUUUAAGGAAGUAUAUAAGCAUUUUCAGUGAGGAUGUUUAUUAAAUGUGUGUUCAUAAAAAAAA
This is a long non-coding RNA of Myotis lucifugus (little brown bat), 439 nucleotides long. RefSeq lists it as uncharacterized. The record is from RefSeq and is a predicted model, not a curated record. The transcript has 3 exons. NCBI's taxonomy places the organism in Eukaryota, Metazoa, Chordata, Mammalia, Chiroptera, Vespertilionidae.